RNAcentral lists this ribosomal RNA (236 nucleotides) under uncultured bacterium. RNAcentral describes it as "partial 16S ribosomal RNA". It matches the Rfam family "Bacterial small subunit ribosomal RNA", at positions 100 to 334 of the family's 1533-position model. The record is from RNAcentral.
GGAACGGGUGAGUAACGCGUGAGGAACCUGCCUCAAAGAGGGGGACAACAGUUGGAAACGACUGCUAAUACCGCAUAAGCCCACGGUGCCGCAUGGCACAGAGGGAAAAGGAGCAAUCCGCUUUGAGAUGGCCUCGCGUCCGAUUAGCUAGUUGGUGAGGUAACGGCCCACCAAGGCGACGAUCGGUAGCCGGACUGAGAGGUUGAACGGCACAUUGGGACUGAGACACGGCCCAG